Molecule: transfer RNA, 71 nt
Filed under: Beta vulgaris subsp. vulgaris (sugar beet)
Lineage: Eukaryota; Viridiplantae; Streptophyta; Magnoliopsida; Caryophyllales; Amaranthaceae
Rfam family: tRNA
About the family: Transfer RNA (tRNA) molecules are approximately 80 nucleotides in length. Their secondary structure includes four short double-helical elements and three loops (D, anti-codon, and T loops). Further hydrogen bonds mediate the characteristic L-shaped molecular structure. tRNAs have two regions of fundamental functional importance: the anti-codon, which is responsible for specific mRNA codon recognition, and the 3' end, to which the tRNAs corresponding amino acid is attached (by aminoacyl-tRNA synthetases). tRNAs cope with the degeneracy of the genetic code in two manners: having more than one tRNA (with a specific anti-codon) for a particular amino acid; and 'wobble' base-pairing, i.e. permitting non-standard base-pairing at the 3rd anti-codon position.
Source: Rfam by way of RNAcentral
GGGGAUAUAGUUCAAUGGCAGAAUAUUUGACUUGCAAUUAAUUGGUGGCGGUUCGAUCCCGCCUAUCUCCA